UAGAACAGUGCCAGGCAUGUAAUAAGCAUUCAAAAGAUUUCAAUAUGCAUAGGAAAAUGUUUGGAAGGAUACACAUCAUUAAUAGUAUUUCCUGGAGGAUGAGAUUAUGGGGAGACUUUAAUUUUCCAGUCCCUAUAUUUCUGUAUUGUUUGGAAGUUUACAGAAAAUAUUUAUUAAUUUUAUAACCAGCAAUUCUGUGAAGACUACAAUUUUUUAGCCUUUUCCAUUUUAGUUACUUUUCUUUCCAUUUCAGAAAAGAAUGUCAACAACAAGAACAACAACAACAAAAGAGAGGAAGGGAGAAGAAUAGAAAUAUCUGCAGAAGUGAAAAAACAACUCAUCUGAAGGGGGACAGGUUAUCAAGCUCAUGAACUUAUAGGAGGAGCUGGAGCCCUUUGUCACAGAGCUGAAUGGACAUCUGGCCGAGCACUCGGAGUAACUGAAGGAGGACAUUCAGCAGGAGUUGGGGAGCUGCUGGCCUGAGUGCUAUAUCCUGCACCAACAAGGUGAACCAGCAGAUCAGUGUCAAAAGGAUGGAAUAGACAUGAGGUGCCCAUCAGUGAAUAAAGCUCUCUCUUUCUUGUGACAACAAGCAAGCAAGCAAGCAAGCAAGCAAGCAAGCAAGAAGCUCCCAACUACUGUGAAUAAAUUGAGACAAAGAAAAUGUU
Leopardus geoffroyi (Geoffroy's cat) is the source of this 668-nucleotide long non-coding RNA. RefSeq lists it as uncharacterized. The record is from RefSeq and is a predicted model, not a curated record. Lineage: Eukaryota; Metazoa; Chordata; Mammalia; Carnivora; Felidae. The transcript has 3 exons.